This 372-nucleotide ribosomal RNA is filed under the name uncultured organism. Its description in RNAcentral is "partial 16S ribosomal RNA". It matches the Rfam family "Bacterial small subunit ribosomal RNA", at positions 527 to 896 of the family's 1533-position model. The record is from RNAcentral.
GUAGGUGGCAAGCGUUGUCCGGAAUUAUUGGGCGUAAAGCGCGCGCAGGUGGUUCUUUAAGUCUGAUGUGAAAGCCCCCGGCUCAACCGGGGAGGGUCAUUGGAAACUGGGGAACUUGAGUGCAGGAGAGGAAAGAGGAAUUCCACGUGUAGCGGUGAAAUGCGUAGAUAUGUGGAGGAACACCAGUGGCGAAGGCGACUUUCUGGCCUGUAACUGACACUGAGGCGCGAAAGCGUGGGGAGCAAACAGGAUUAGAUACCCUGGUAGUCCACGCCGUAAACGAUGAGUGCUAAGUAUCAAAGGGUUUCCCGCCCCUCAGUGCUGCAGCUAACGCAUUAAGCACUCCGCCUGGGGAGUACGGUCGCAAGACUG